GUGCUGAAAGCAUCUAAGCAUGAAGCCCCCCUCAAGAUGAGAUUUCCCAACUUCGGUUAUAUGAUCCCUCAAAGAUGAUGAGGUUAAUAGGUUCGAGGUGGAAGCAUGGUGACAUGUGGAGCUGACGAAUACUAAUCGAUCGAAGACUUAAUCAA
This 155-nucleotide ribosomal RNA is filed under the name Escherichia coli. Its description in RNAcentral is "partial 23S ribosomal RNA". It matches the Rfam family "Bacterial large subunit ribosomal RNA", at positions 2768 to 2925 of the family's 2925-position model. Lineage: Bacteria; Pseudomonadati; Pseudomonadota; Gammaproteobacteria; Enterobacterales; Enterobacteriaceae. The record is from RNAcentral.